Mustela lutreola (European mink) is the source of this 985-nucleotide long non-coding RNA. RefSeq lists it as uncharacterized. The record is from RefSeq and is a predicted model, not a curated record. Lineage: Eukaryota; Metazoa; Chordata; Mammalia; Carnivora; Mustelidae. The transcript has 2 exons.
GGCGGCAGUCCUCCAGAAGCUUUCCCCAUGCCAGCUGCCACAAAAGAGAGCUGCGGAGGGCCGGGAACUCUGGUGGAAACAAUAGAACUCCACCUCAAAGGUGCUGACACUUCAACUAGGAGAACUGACAAAGGAUACAGGCUUUAAUUUUCCUGGAAAAACAGUGAAGUUUCUUUGCAGAGGAAAUAUGGCAGGGAGAAGCCAAGAGAUCAGGUGGAGGCUGUGACUCAGUUCACAGGAAAUAAUUAAGAUCUGGAUAUGGACACAUCCUUGGCUUAAAGAAUAACUUUCCCAGAAGUCGUGUGCUUCUUUCCCUACCUCCAGCUCCUGGACGAUGACUUCCUUAUUCUCUAUGUCUUUCCCUCUAGAAGGUAAACAGAUCAGAGCUUGCUUUCUGUGAGGGAAGCCAGCUCCCAUGUCGAGCUGCCCUGUGGGAAGGCCCACAUGACAAGAAACUAAUCGCUCCUGCCAACAGCCUACAAGAACCUGAGGUCCUUGGUCCAGCAGCCCGCAAGGAACUGAAACCUGCCAACAACCUUGCGAGGAGGCUUAGAAGUGGACUCUCUGAGGCCCGCGGACAGCCAGUGAGUGAGCUUGGAAGCUAAUGUCCCCGCCCCAGGUGACCUUCCCAGUGAUGCAGCCUUGGCCAACACUCUGACUGGAGUUCAUGGAAGACCGUGAGCCAGAUGACCCACCCUGAGCCAUGCCCAGAUUCUUGCCCCCACAAAAACUGCGAGAUGCUAAGACAUUUGUCAGUUAAGCCACGACAUUUUGGAGCAAUUUGCAGAGCAGUGAUAGAUACAUUCAGAAAUAAACUCCGAGGAUAUAUUCAACCAUGUUGAAGCCUUAUGCUAUAAUAGUAACUGUGUUUACAAAUUUGAGGAUUCACAGAUAUUAGCUCAUAUCCCUUCCCAAGAAUCCUACAACAUCUUCACCCACUCCUUUUCUUUUUUCUAUUUUUAAAUAAACAUAAUAUCAAACUAUA